RNAcentral lists this ribosomal RNA (300 nucleotides) under uncultured Thermovibrio sp. RNAcentral's name for it is "partial 16S ribosomal RNA". It matches the Rfam family "Bacterial small subunit ribosomal RNA", at positions 514 to 795 of the family's 1533-position model. The record is from RNAcentral. Lineage: Bacteria; Pseudomonadati; Aquificota; Aquificia; Desulfurobacteriales; Desulfurobacteriaceae.
GCCGGGGUAGUACGGAGGGGGGGGGGUGUGGCCGGAAUCCCUGGGCGUAAAGGGCUGGUAGGCGGCCUGGUAAGGUGGCGGUGAAAGCCGGGGGCUCAACCCCGGGUGGGCCGUGGCAACGGCUGGGCUGGAGCACAGUAGAGGCGGGUGGAAUUCCGGGUGUAGCGGUGGAAUGCGUAGAGAUCCGGAAGAACACCGGUGGCGAAGGCGGCCCGCUGGGCUGUGACUCUUCGGAGUCUUCAAGCUGACGCUGAGGCGCGACAGCGUGGGGAGCAAACAGGAUUAGAUACCCCAGUAGUC